Long non-coding RNA from Gasterosteus aculeatus aculeatus (three-spined stickleback), 1764 nucleotides. The record is from Ensembl. NCBI's taxonomy places the organism in Eukaryota, Metazoa, Chordata, Actinopteri, Perciformes, Gasterosteidae.
CCCGGAAAGGUGCAUCAGAUCCAGUCCAGUGGUCGAAGCAGUGCCAGCAGGCGUUUGAGAAGGUAAAGCAUGCUCUCUGUGGGGAACCACUCCUUCAUACUCCUAACUUCUCUCUCCCCUUUAUUCUGCAGACAGACGCGUCGAACAGGGGGCCAUUUUGUCACAGGAGGUGGGGGGUGUGGCCCGCCCCGUGGUGUACAUCAGCAGGAAGCUGUCCGAGAGGGAGGCCAGGUACAACACAGUGGAAAAGCAGUGCCUGGCCAUCCGGUGGGCGGUCGACUCCCUACGCUACUACCUCCUGGGACGCUCAUUCACCCUCUGUUCGGACCAUGCCCCGCUCCAAUGGCUCCACCGCAUGAAAGAUGCCAACGCCCGGAUCACUCGGUGGUAUCUGGCUCUACAGCCUUUUAAUUUCAAGGUGGUCAAUAGGCCGGGGGCGCAGAUGCACUGCAUGAAAAGUGAGAUUUUCAUCCCCGUAAACGCCCGGAAAUCUCCCUAAUUUCCGACAAUUUGCAACCCGCGCACGGCGCGUUUGUCUGUGCCACAAAUUGUCGGAAACGAACCAUGACGUAGGUGCAGAGCUGGCGGAGGUGCGAAUGGCCCGAAUUAGCAUAUGAAUGCAGCAAAACCGCGGGUGGCCGAGCGGGCUUCAAUAUCUUUACUCCUUAUUGGAUGAAACCACAACUUACUAACAAAUAGAAUCACUCGUGAUUGGCAGCAAAACCCCACCUGGGCAGACCAGGCUUGAGUUUCCUUGUUCAUGAUUGGAUGAAACCACAACUUUCAAUCACUCGUGAUUGGUUGGCAGAUCUGUCGCUAUUGGUCACCCGCCUCAUUUUAUUUAUAUAUUCAUAUUAUGCUGUAUAUUCAUUUCAUGGUUAUCCUAUGUAGGCUACUACACUGUUAUUAGGAUACCAACCAGGACAUCAAUGAAUUUAUAGAGAAAAUGAACAUUUGCCACAUGUAUAUGCAAAGAAAGAGCUUUAUUAACAACACACAAUCAACAACUACAUACAAAGUGAGGAUCUGCCCACACUUGGGUAAAGGCGGUUUAAAAAACUACAGCUCAGUAAACUGUCCGUUUGCCUCCUCGGGGUUGUUGACCGUCACUUGCGCCGUGUUUUCCGAGGCAGGUCUGUUGUGCAGGCGCCUAGUGUGUGUGGCUCUGUAUUUCUGAGUCGCCUCUAACCGGGACUGACUCAGAAAUUGCGGCGACCGUACAAUCCACCCCGAGACACCGCCAACAACGCCAUCCUCUCCGUCCGACGUGAGCUCUACGCUGUAAAAACAACAAUGAAUCAGUACUGUGCGAUGCGUAUGGACACAACACAUCUAUCAAUGCACCUGAAAAAAAGUCAGCUAAUAAACUCUGACCCUCUUUCUUCUCGCUUGACUCCGCGCUGAAUCCUUCGCAGCUUCCGCCCGCAAUGAGUGUUCCGGCUGAACCUGAAGCUCCUGCGUCCCGUCUCAAAAUACGUCUUACAGGCGGCUGGAAAACAAUUAAAUGAGUGUGGUUUGAAUACAAAAAAAAUCAAACGCAAGUCACAGUAACAUUUAACAAGGAAGGAGAAACAGUAAACGGUGUCACUUACACACAAUGACGUCGUCUAAAUCUGGACUUUUCCCGGAGCAAAUACAAGGUCACCGCCUCAUUAUGAGGCGAGAUUAGUCUGUGAAAACAAAAUGUACAGUUAUGAUCGGUAUCCAUACGUAUAUAUUUCCUUAUACCGCAGAAUGAAAGCAUAUUCUUUAAAUCUGACCCUU